AGUGAACGCUGGCGGUAGGCCUAACACAUGCAAGUCGAACGGCAGCACAGUAAGAGCUUGCUCUUACGGGUGGCGAGUGGCGUACGGGUGAGGAAUACAUCGGAAUCUACUUUUUCGUGGGGGAUAACGUAGGGAAACUUACGCUAAUACCGCAUACGACCUACGGGUGAAAGCAGGGGAUCUUCGGACCUUGCGCGGUUGAAUGAGCCGAUGUCGGAUUAGCUAGUUGGCGGGGUAAUGGCCCACCAAGGCGACGAUCCGUAGCUGGUCUGAGAGGAUGAUCAGCCGCACUGGAACUGAGACACGGACCAGAGUCCUACGGGAGGGAGCAGUGGGGAAUAUGGGACAAUGGGCGCAAGCCUGACCCAGCCAUACCGAGUGGGUGAAGAAGGCCUUCGGGUUGUAAUGCCGUUUUGUUGGGAAAGAAAAGCAGCAGGUUAAUACCCCGCUGUUCUGACGGUACCCAAAGAAUAAGCACCGGCUAACUUCGUG
This 492-nucleotide ribosomal RNA is filed under the name uncultured bacterium. Its description in RNAcentral is "partial 16S ribosomal RNA". It matches the Rfam family "Bacterial small subunit ribosomal RNA", at positions 29 to 507 of the family's 1533-position model. The record is from RNAcentral.